GUCCGUACCUUAUAAUCUCCACUUUUAAGGUCUUCCAGAAGCAGCCCUUCUCCAUCGGCGUGAAAGAAAUGAACCAGCGUCUAUGAUGAUGUCAUGUUCCUCUUGACCCAUAUCAAAGACCUGAGGAAGACAGUAGAAGUUAUGAACAUGAAGAGAGAGAAAACUGUCACAUGUGAGUGAGGCGUUCACAGCCUACACCUCAAAAAAGAAGUGCUGCUGUCUUUCACCUGUGUCAGGAAUCUCUGCGCACACGUCUGCUCAAGCCCCCAUUAGGAACAGCACAGAUUUGAACUGUCAAUCAAACACUAAAGAAAAGUCUGUGCUUUCACAUUCAAUUAAGCCUGUGGGACCAGCUGUUGUAGGAGAGUUUAAUUCUCUAUGUGACAAGAAACAUUUAAUAUAGAAUUUAAUAUAAAUUUAAGUAAUGUAGUUUGUUAUAAUAUGACAUUAUGUAAGCUUAUAGGAUGACAGCAAUAUAUCGAAAUGUUCUACCUUACUGCAUCUUCAAAUUUAUUUGAACCAGACGCAGAUUAAAAGAUGCAUUUAUGUUUUUUUAUUUUUAUAAACGAACCUCACUUCAUCUAACUAUGGGUUAAGUUGUGCAUUUCAUUUUCUAGCCAUUUUACAAAUAAGAUUAUUUUGUUGUACUGACAGUAGUUUUUAAAUACAUAUACAGCACUCCAUUAUCAUAUAUAAUUUGUUUCUUGAAUCGUCAACCGUGUCUUGUGCUGU
Molecule: non-coding RNA, 732 nt
Organism: Paramisgurnus dabryanus
Lineage: Eukaryota; Metazoa; Chordata; Actinopteri; Cypriniformes; Cobitidae
Source: RefSeq, a predicted model, not a curated record